GCGAUGGAUGUAACUUUCUGGGUAAUUACACAGCUAAUGCAUGCAACUUGAAUGUGAAGACCCACAUUUGCAUGCUAAUUGAUUGCUCCUAGCUAAGAAACCCGCCCUUGGUCAUCUCGAAACUUUUCAUAUGCGUUGCAGUAUCCCUCAAGUCAGAAUUUCUUCUGGAAGUGAAUGAAAGAUCAAGACAGUAAUUAUAAAGCAUCAAGACCCCAUUUGAACAAGAGUUUCCACUCCAUGCAAAAGAAAGAGAAGGAAGCAAGGAAAGAAGGGAGGGAUAAGGAAAUGGAAG
Molecule: long non-coding RNA, 292 nt
Organism: Neltuma alba
Lineage: Eukaryota; Viridiplantae; Streptophyta; Magnoliopsida; Fabales; Fabaceae
Exons: 3
Source: RefSeq, a predicted model, not a curated record